GAUGAACGCCGGCGGCGUGCCUAAUACAUGCAAGUCGAGCGAACGGACGAGAAGCUUGCUUCUCUGAUGUUAGCGGCGGACGGGUGAGUAACACGUGGAUAACCUACCUAUAAGACUGGGAUAACUUCGGGAAACCGUAGCUAAUACCGGAUAAUAUUUUGAACCGCAUGGUUCAAUAGUGAAAGACGGUCUUGCUGUCACUUAUAGAUGGAUCCGCGCUGCAUUAGCUAGUUGGUAAGGUAACGGCUUACCAAGGCAACGAUGCAUAGCCGACCUGAGAGGGUGAUCGGCCACACUGGAACUGAGACACGGUCCAGACUCCUACGGGAGGCAGCAGUAGGGAAUCUUCCGCAAUGGGCGAAAGCAUGACGGAGCAACGCCGCGUGAGUGAUGAAGGUCUUCGGAUCGUAAAACUCUGUUAUUAGGGAAGAACAUAUGUGUAAGUAACUGUGCACAUCUUGACGGUACCUAAUCAGAAAGCCACGGCUAACUACGUG
This 497-nucleotide ribosomal RNA is filed under the name uncultured bacterium. RNAcentral describes it as "partial 16S ribosomal RNA". It matches the Rfam family "Bacterial small subunit ribosomal RNA", at positions 28 to 507 of the family's 1533-position model. The record is from RNAcentral.